Armigeres subalbatus is the source of this 1742-nucleotide long non-coding RNA. RefSeq lists it as uncharacterized. NCBI's taxonomy places the organism in Eukaryota, Metazoa, Arthropoda, Insecta, Diptera, Culicidae. The record is from RefSeq and is a predicted model, not a curated record. The transcript has 3 exons.
UGUACAAAUCUGUAGUAGUUAGAUAACGCUUAAAACUCGCUCAGAGAUAGUGAGAAACAUACAGAGAGGAAAAGGGAAAAUAGGAGAAAUUAGGAAAUGUAAGAAAUAGGAGAAAUACACAUGAUCAGAAGUUUAGUGACAAGCAACCGAACAAGACGUGUUCAUUUAUUGAAAACAAUAUCAUUUUCCCUCCCACUUUUGAUAGUUAUUUCAGUGGCGACGAGGAUAGAAUUUUUUUAAAGUAUUUUAAAAUUUGCAUGAAAUUUUAUUUUUUAUUUCGCGUGUGAAAAAAAAGUGCAGUUUUGUAGGUUGAAAUAGUUCCUACCGAUUUUUUCCAAGGAGCUCGGCCAUUUGAACGAGGACCUCACAUCAGCACAUUUCUCUGUGUGAGAUUCAGCGAACCAAACGAAAUCAGCGACCGAGAACGCAAAAGAGAACAUCGUUAACAGGAUUGAGAAGUGUGCGUUCACCAUCGUGAACUACCGAUCAGCUCACCACUACCAACAACCAGUGCAACGGAGCCAGUCGAGUCGGCUUUUGGAGGUGUCAGCGUCGAUAAAAGUGCAUCGAGUGCAACAAAAAACAUCGGAUCAUUUGCCGUCGUGAACGAACCGUGAAGCUGUCACCCAACGAUCAGCUGUGUGCAUAUAGUGCGGACUCGAGUUUUCUGCUGCUGGAUAUACCGGUGUUGGUACUGCUGGAUUUUGUUGCUGUGGUGUGUGGAUUGCUGCUGUAGGUGCGGAGGUACGUCGUAGUGUUGGUGCCUUUGGCGUCGUGGGAUUUUAUUUGCUGUGACAGAAGUGCAUCGGAGAUUUAUUUUUGCCGAUUUUGGUUGCUGCGAUUUUGGUGCAUUUUGGCUACCGUGCGGUGGAGCGGAUUUGAAAUCGCAGAGCAACAUUUUUUUUACCGAGUGCUUUUUUGUUGGAUUGUUUUGGUGCAUAGUAAAUCAGAUUUCUCUUGGAGGAAGGAUAGUGCUGGCCCACAGACGUCAGCUUAAGCUAUCCACGAGCUCUUCUCGUAAGAGAACUUUGAUUUUACCUUUUGAGAAAGCGGCAAACUUCAUACCCGAUCCAGCACUCUUUUUGUCAUCAACAGCACCCAUUUCGUCAUCUGUAGAAAAUCGUGAAGCACCAAUUUUGUCAACAGCACGAACUGAUGAGCCUGUUUUGUCACCGACUUCAGUAAGAAGUGAUAGCAAUUUGAGAAAUAGCAGUAAAAGAAGACGAGAAGAUGAAGAUCCUGAUUUCGAAGAAUCACUUAAUGAAGAUUUCGAAUUUUAUGGUUAUCCUGCAGAUUCUUUCAUUUUUUCAAAUGAGGAAAUUCAAAAUAAUUUACAGAAUGAAGUUUCUGAUCCACUACCUGUGGUUUCGAUUAGGCGAUCAAAAAGAAUUAUGAAAAAGCGUAAGAAAAAUGAUUUUGUCUACUACAAGUAGAAUUGAAUAAUAAGAAUUAAUUGUAUAUUUUGUAAAUAUUAAUUAUUUUAAGCUAGUGCAUGUAAGUCAUGCCUUCGAAAAAUUUAAAAUACUAAAUGAAUUAUGUUUUGAAUCGAAUAAAAUAUCUAAAGUUUGAUUAAUUUGUCUACUAAAGGAUGAAGGAGUUGUAGUAGUUAGAUAACGCUUAAAACUCGCUCAGAGAUAGUGAGAAACAUACAGAGAGGAAAAGGGAAAAUAGGAGAAAUUAGGAAAUGUAAGAAAUAGGAGAAAUACACAUGAUCAGAAGUUUAGUGACAAGCAACCGAACAA